Non-coding RNA from Hypoxylon sp. CI-4A, 93 nucleotides. The record is from the annotation of a GenBank genome assembly. NCBI's taxonomy places the organism in Eukaryota, Fungi, Ascomycota, Sordariomycetes, Xylariales, Hypoxylaceae.
ACCGUACUAGAGAAAUGGUUAACUCGUCGGCCUUCUAUAAUUCCUGCAAGAUCAGGAAGCCGAAGAUUCUCGGUUCGAGUCCGGGGUACGGUG